This 463-nucleotide ribosomal RNA is filed under the name uncultured bacterium. Its description in RNAcentral is "partial 16S ribosomal RNA". It matches the Rfam family "Bacterial small subunit ribosomal RNA", at positions 28 to 507 of the family's 1533-position model. The record is from RNAcentral.
GACGAACGCUGGCGGCGUGCUUAACACAUGCAAGUCGAACGGAAAGGCCUUUUCGGAGGUACUCGAGUGGCGAACGGGUGAGUAACACGUGGGUGAUCUGCCCUGCACUCUGGGAUAAGCCUGGGAAACUGGGUCUAAUACCGGAUAGGACCGCACUUUAGUGUGUGUGGUGGAAAGUUUUUUCGGUGUAGGAUGAGCCCGCGGCCUAUCAGCUUGUUUGUGGGGUAAUGGCCUACCAAGGCGGCGACGGGGAGCCGGACUGAGAGGUUGGUCGGCCACAGUGGGACUGAGAUACGGCCCAGACUCCUACGGGAGGCAGCCGUGGGGAAUAUUGCACAAUGGGCGCAAGCCUGAUGCAGCGACGCCGCGGGGGGGAGGACGGCCUUCGGGUUGGAAACUCCUUUCGCCAGGGACGAAGCGUUUUGUGACGGUACCUGGAGAAGAAGCACCGGCUAACUACGUG